CCCCAUCAUAACCUUGCCCUCUGAUAUCUUGGACAUUCAACUCAUUAUUAAUGAGGACAACAACAAUGAAGUUAGAGUCGAAGUUAUUGUCCUCGUUGAUAAUGGGUUGAAUGCGCAAAGAUAUCAGAGGGCAACGCUAUGAUGGA
Brachypodium distachyon (stiff brome) is the source of this 146-nucleotide non-coding RNA. The record is from RefSeq and is marked provisional. NCBI's taxonomy places the organism in Eukaryota, Viridiplantae, Streptophyta, Magnoliopsida, Poales, Poaceae.